Molecule: ribosomal RNA, 371 nt
Filed under: uncultured bacterium
Lineage: Bacteria
Description: bacterial SSU rRNA
Rfam family: Bacterial small subunit ribosomal RNA
Source: RNAcentral
CACCUUUUGACAUCCUGUGCUAACCGGCGAGAGUCGGUGUUCCCUUCGGGGACGCAGAGACAGGUGCUGCAUGGCUGUCGUCAGCUCGUGUCGUGAGAUGUUGGGUUAAGUCCCGCAACGAGCGCAACCCUCGCGGUUAGUUGCCAUCAUUCAGUUGGGCACUCUAAUCGGACUGCCGGUGCUAAGCCGGAGGAAGGUGGGGAUGACGUCAAGUCCUCAUGGCCCUUACGGGGUGGGCUACACACGUGCUACAAUGGCGACUACAGAGGGCAAAUCCCUAAAAGUCGUCUCAGUUCGGAUUGUCCUCUGCAACUCGAGGGCAUGAAGUUGGAAUCGCUAGUAAUCGCGGAUCAGCAUGCCCGCGGUGAAUA